GGAGACGUGACCGAGUGGCCGAAGGUGCUCGAUUGCUAAUCGAGUGUGGGAUGAGAAUUCUACCGAGGGUUCAAAUCCCUCCGUCUCCGCCA
Molecule: transfer RNA, 92 nt
Filed under: Deltaproteobacteria bacterium
Lineage: Bacteria; Pseudomonadati; Myxococcota; Myxococcia
Also listed under: 1 other name
Description: tRNA-Ser
Rfam family: tRNA
About the family: Transfer RNA (tRNA) molecules are approximately 80 nucleotides in length.
Source: RNAcentral